Molecule: long non-coding RNA, 4214 nt
Organism: Pecten maximus
Lineage: Eukaryota; Metazoa; Mollusca; Bivalvia; Pectinida; Pectinidae
Exons: 4
Source: RefSeq, a predicted model, not a curated record
CAGUUAUCCUAGCCCACUGUGUACCAGACAGUUAUCCUAGCCCACUGUGUACCAGACAGUUAUCCUAACCCACUGUGUACCAGACAGGAAAGACAGUUAUCCUAACCCACUGUGUACCAGACAGGUAUCCUAACCCACUGUGUACCAGACAGAAAAGACAGGUAUCCUAACCCACUGUGUACCAGACAGAAAAGACAGUUAUCCUAACCCACUGUGUACCAGACAGGUAUCCUAACCUACUGUGUACCAGACAGUUAUCCUAACCCACUGUGUACCAGACAGGAAAGGCAGGUAUCCUAACCCACUGUGUACCAGACAGGAAAGACAGUUAUCCUAACCCACUGUGUACCAGACAGUUAUCCUAACCUACUGUGUACCAGACAGUUAUCCUAACCCGCUGUGUACCAGACAGGUAUCCUAACUCACUGUGUACCAGACAGAAAAGACAGGUAUCCUAACCCACUGUGUACCAGACAGAAAAGACAGUUAUCCUAACCCACUGUGUACCAGACAGGAAAGACAGUUAUCCUAACCCACUGUGUACCAGACAGGUAUCCUAACCUACUGUGUACCAGACAGGAAAGACAGUUAUCCUAACCCACUGUGUACCAGACAGUUAUCCUAACCCACUGUGUACCAGACAGUUAUCCUAACCCACUGUGUACCAGACAGGAAAGACAGUUAUCCUACCCCACUGUGUACCAGACAGGAAAGGCAGUUAUCCUAACCCACUGUGUACCAGACAGGUAUCCUAACCCACUGUGUACCAGACAGGUAUCCUAACCUACUGUGUACCAGACAGGUAUCCUAACCAACUGUGUACCAGACAGGUAUCCUAACCCACUGUGUACCAGACAGGAAAGACAGUUAUCCUAACCCACUGUGUACCAGACAGGAAAGACAGUUAUCCUAACCCACUGUGUACCAGACAGUUAUCCUAACCCACUGUGUACCAGACAGGAAAGACAGUUAUCCUAACCCACUGUGUACCAGACAGGAAAGACAGUUAUCCUAACCCACUGUGUACCAGACAGUUAUCCUAACCCACUGUGUACCAGACAGUUAUCCUAACCCACUGUGUACCAGACAGGAAAGACAGUUAUCCUAACCCACUGUGUACCAGACAGGAAAGACAGUUAUCCUAACCCACUGUGUACCAGACAGUUAUCCUAACCCACUGUGUACCAGACAGUUAUCCUAACCCACUGUGUACCAGACAGGUAUCCUAACCUACUGUGUACCAGACAGUUAUCCUAACCCACUGUGUACCAGACAGGUAUCCUAACCUACUGUGUACCAGACAGAAAAGACAGUUAUCCUAACCCACUGUGUACCAGACAGAAAAGACAGUUAUCCUAACCCACUGUGUACCAGACAGAAAAGACAGUUAUCCUAGCCCACUGUGUACCAGACAGAAAAGACAGUUAUCCUAGCCCACUGUGUACCAGACAGGAAAGACAGUUAUCCUAACCCACUGUGUACCAGACAGUUAUCCUAACCCACUGUGUACCAGACAGAAAAGACAGUUAUCCUAACCCACUGUGUACCAGACAGGAAAGACAGUUAUCCUAACCCACUGUGUACCAGACAGUUAUCCUAACCCACUGUGUACCAGACAGGUAUCCUAACCCACUGUGUACCAGACAGGUAUCCUAACCCACUGUGUACCAGACAGAAAAGACAGUUAUCCUAACCCACUGUGUACCAGACAGUUAUCCUAACCCACUGUGUACCAGACAGGUAUCCUAACACACUGUGUACCAGACAGAAAAGACAGUUAUCCUAACCCACUGUGUACCAGACAGUUAUCCUAACCUACUGUGUACCAGACAGUUAUCCUAACCCACUGUGUACCAGACAGUUAUCCUAACCCACUGUGUACCAGACAGGAAAGACAGGUAUCCUAACCCACUGUGUACCAGAUACAGUAAGAGUAAGAUUUUCCGAGUAGAUCAUUUGCCCAUUUGUUAAAGCUGUUGUCAUAGCAAAAAUCAAACCUUUAUAAAGUGUACUUGCUAUAAGACACAGUGAAAUUUUAACUUCAAUUAUAAAAAUUAAAACAAGAAAAAUGUUCCCUUUUUAACAUGUGACCUACCAUAUAGAUAUUGCCCAUAUCAGUAUGUGCAUCACUGGCCUACCAAGUGUAAGCCUCCUCCCUCCAACAACACAUGCUCAAAGUGUGCUUUAGAAAACCUGAUGUGCGAGAGGUAUAUAUGGUACCCUGGCAAUGUUGUACGAAUAUCUCAUGCAUGAAUGAUUUAUAGACAUGCACCAGCGAGUCUGGCCAUAUCAUGUAUGUUUUCUAUGGAAGUGAAAUGCUUUUGAUCAAGUUGAAGACAUAUUAGUAUAUUGAUUUAUCUAAAUAAGGCAGCUACCUAAUCUUUUGAGGAUAUAUUUUGUGUGUAUAUGUGUAAGAUUACAUGCAGAAGAAAUACUUAUGUGUAAAUGUGAGAAUGAGACACGAUUUGUGGUAGUCUAUUUUUAUGAGACGUAUGCUGACUAGAUUAUAUGUUGUAGUCUAUUUUUAUGAGAGAGACAGAUACUGGCUGCACUUGGUAUGCGAAUUUGUGUAAAUAUUGAAAUGAAUAAAAGUAAUUAUGUACAUUGAGACUAUGUAAGAAGUGAGUAUUACAUUGAUUUGUGGAUAUAUUAUGAUGUUACUGGUUAUUUUUGUGAUUAAGAUUGUAGAGAGAAAAAAAUAGUUUUUUAAAAUCGAUGAUUAUGUGUGCUGGAUGCUUUAAGUAAAACACCAUCUUGUAUUGUAGCAAAAUAGCAAAAUGUUUAAAAACAUUAUUUCAUGGGGCAUUUCAAAGUUUGUAUAAGGCAAUUCACUACAUUACAUUACUGAGAAAUGCAAGCACUCGUCUGGAUGGAUGUUUUGAUAAGGAUCGUACGGAUGACAAUUAUUUCUGAUAAAUGCUGUGCUGCUCGAGCCUAGAACUGUCCACAUGUAGUUCUGACACAAAGAUAGGAUACAUUUGUCAUAUUAUUUUACAACGAAUAGUUUUGGUCUUUCCUAAUGUAUUCUACUUACUUUACUAACCAUUGCUAGUAUUGUUUGUUAUGAAAGUCUUUUUUUAAUACUUCGUUGUUUACAUCUGUUGUUGUGAGAGGUACCAGAGCUAUAGUGUGUGUAUCAUGAGAGUUGUCAUUCCACCUGUUGUCUACACUUUACUCUACGUAGUUUGUUUUAUUUACUUCCAAAAUAGAAAUUGUUUAUGUUUUAAACAAAUGGAAAUUAAAAUACAUUUUGUACUUGUGUUUAUUAAGGUCAGAUCCAAAAGGAUUGCAGCCAGAAUCGAGACUUAUCAAUGUAUAUCUAAUCUGAAGUAUAAGUAUCGUAUCUAAAUUGAAUGUUAAUUUCGGCUUUUCUCAUGUUUCUUCCCAGUUUUUCUGUUGUUUAUAUAUGUAAGGUUUUGAUAUUUUAUAGUAUAUGUAGCAGAUGACAAAUGAUCAUCACAUCUUUUGAAAACUUUUCACCGUUUAAGAUUUAUAUGAUUAAUUGAACGUGAUACCAUAUGUUCAGUGUGAAGAUGUCUUUCCUCUUGAAAACAAAACAUAUUUUUUUAUGUGAACUUUGGGAAUAAUGGUCUCAUGACCUGGUCUAAGUUUUUAUUUCUCCAAAUGUGGGUUCUUUACAGAAAAAUCUUGUUACAUUAAUCAACAAGUCUAAAACUGAAAGAUAUAAAAUGUAUUUUCCCCUUAAACAUGUCUAUUUGAGGGUUCUUUUACAGUCAGAAGUUUGAGGUUUUUUUUUUUUUCAAUGAACCAUAUGAAAAUUUGCAUUUCUUGAACUAAUGUUAUGACUCAGCUAUCUGCUAGUUAUUUAAUUGGAAAAUAUAUUUUCUCAUUAUAUUAUUGGAAGUGAAAUUUGUUCCCUCUCUGGGGAAAACACUCACACAAAAGACAACUGGAGUGAUUGAUGGUAUAUAGAUUUUGUAAUGUCUGUGUAUGUAUUCAUAUUCAAUGUAUAUUUCAAAGUUAAAUCAGGGACAUGCUCACUCUGCUUCUUGUGCAAUACCUGGGUGGUAUAUUUGUAUGAAAAAAUGUACAAAUGGUAAGUUUUAUCCAGAUUUUUUAUAUAAUAUAUAUCUAUAUCUAUAUGAAUAUAUCAAAGGACUGCAGUAAGAUGUUAUAGAUUGUGUAUUGUGAUGUUAGAGAGAGUUUAUACAAGGUAGUUGUAUAUGGUCAGAGAAUAAAUGGUCAACAAAGUA